RNAcentral lists this ribosomal RNA (857 nucleotides) under uncultured Pseudomonas sp. Its description in RNAcentral is "bacterial SSU rRNA". It matches the Rfam family "Bacterial small subunit ribosomal RNA", at positions 641 to 1498 of the family's 1533-position model. The record is from RNAcentral. Lineage: Bacteria; Pseudomonadati; Pseudomonadota; Gammaproteobacteria; Pseudomonadales; Pseudomonadaceae.
GUAGAGUGUGGUAGAGGUGGUGGAAUUUCCUGGUAGCGGUGGAAUGCGUAGAUAUAGGAAGGAACACCAGUGGGAAAGGCGACCACCUGGACUGAUACUGACAGUGAGGUGCGAAAAGCGUUGGGAGCAAACAGGAUUAGAUACCCUGGUAGUCCACGCCGUAAACGAUGUCAACUAGCCGUUGGGAGCCUUGAGCUCUUAGUGGCGCAGCUAACGCAUUAAGUUGACCGCCUGGGGAGUACGGCCGCAAGGUUAAAACUCAAAUGAAUUGACGGGGGCCCGCACAAGCGGUGGAGCAUGUGGUUUAAUUCGAAGCAACGCGAAGAACCUUACCAGGCCUUGACAUCCAAUGAACUUUCCAGAGAUGGAUUGGUGCCUUCGGGAACAUUGAGACAGGUGCUGCAUGGCUGUCGUCAGCUCGUGUCGUGAGAUGUUGGGUUAAGUCCCGUAACGAGCGCAACUCUUGUCCUUAGUUACCAGCACGUUAUGGUGGGCACUCUAAGGAGACUGCCGGUGACAAACCGGAGGAAGGUGGGGAUGGCGUCAAGUCAUCAUGGCCCUUACGGCCUGGGCUACACACGUGCUACAAUGGUCGGUACAGAGGGUUGCCAAGCCGCGAGGUGGAGCUAACCCCACAAAACCGAUCGUAGUCCGGAUCGCAGUCUGCAACUCGACUGCGUGAAGUCGGAAUCGCUAGUAAUCGCGAAUCAGAAUGUCGCGGUGAAUACGUUCCCGGGCCUUGUACACACCGCCCGUCACACCAUGGGAGUGGGUUGCACCAGAAGUAGCUAGUCUAACCUUCGGGAGGACGGUUACCACGGUGUGAUUCAUGACUGGGGUGAAGUCGUAACAAGGUA